Poecile atricapillus (Black-capped chickadee) is the source of this 398-nucleotide long non-coding RNA. RefSeq lists it as uncharacterized. The record is from RefSeq and is a predicted model, not a curated record. Lineage: Eukaryota; Metazoa; Chordata; Aves; Passeriformes; Paridae. The transcript has 2 exons.
CCCCUGCCGCAGCCCCCCCACCCCGGGGCGCUCCCCUCGCUCCCCCCCGCGCUGGACAAGAAGGCAAGAAGGCGGCGAAGAAGAUGAAGAAGAGGAUGAAGAAGGCUCACAAGAGGCACAAGCGCUCUUCGUCCUCGUCGUCGUCCUCCUCCUCAGCAGCUCCGACUGAUGCUCCUGGGACCCCCCAGGACCCCGGGACCACCAGGACCGCUCGGGACCCCCCAGGACAACCAGGAGCCAUCUGGGACCUCUUGGGACCCUUGUGACCCACCCGGGACCACCCCAAGACCACCCGGGACCCACCAGGACCCCCAGGAGCAGCCGGGGCCCCCUCCCCUGGUGCCGGGGGGGUCCCGGGGUGCCCCCGCUGUCCCCCCAAUAAAGCUCUAGGACACCCC